RNAcentral lists this ribosomal RNA (483 nucleotides) under uncultured bacterium. Its description in RNAcentral is "partial 16S ribosomal RNA". It matches the Rfam family "Bacterial small subunit ribosomal RNA", at positions 30 to 506 of the family's 1533-position model. The record is from RNAcentral.
AUUGAACGCUGGCGGCAGGCCUAACACAUGCAAGUCGAGCGGAUGAAGGGAGCUUGCUCCUGGAUUCAGCGGCGGACGGGUGAGUAAUGCCUAGGAAUCUGCCUGGUAGUGGGGGAUAACGUCCGGAAACGGGCGCUAAUACCGCAUACGUCCUGAGGGAGAAAGUGGGGGAUCUUCGGACCUCACGCUAUCAGAUGAGCCUAGGUCGGAUUAGCUAGUUGGUGGGGUAAAGGCCUACCAAGGCGACGAUCCGUAACUGGUCUGAGAGGAUGAUCAGUCACACUGGAACUGAGACACGGUCCAGACACCUACGGGAGGCAGCAGUGGGGAAUAUUGGACAAUGGGCGAAAGCCUGAACCAGCCAUGCCGCGUGUGUGAAGAAGGUCUUCGGAUUGUAAAGCACUUUAAGUUGGGAGGAAGGGCAGUAAGUUAAUACCUUGCUGUUUUGACGUUACCAACAGAAUAAGCACCGGCUAACUUCGU